This is a long non-coding RNA of Octopus sinensis (East Asian common octopus), 585 nucleotides long. RefSeq lists it as uncharacterized. The record is from RefSeq and is a predicted model, not a curated record. NCBI's taxonomy places the organism in Eukaryota, Metazoa, Mollusca, Cephalopoda, Octopoda, Octopodidae. The transcript has 2 exons.
CUGUGUCUUAGUAUAUCAUCAUCAUUGUUGUUGCUUUAACAUCCACUUUUCCAUGCUUACAUUAGUCAAACACCAUUUAUUGAGGCAAAUUUUUUACAAGCAGAUGCCCUUCCUGUUGCCAACCCUUGCCCAUUUCUAAAUAAGGUAUUUCCUCAUUACUAAACAUUGUUUUCAUGGAAGAAUGGAGAUGGACACCAUGAUGGUGAUGACUUUUGUGGUGUGUGAAUAGACUUCACUCACACACACACACACACACACACACACACACACACACACACACACAGCACAUGUACUGUGUGAUAAGGCUUCAACUAUAAUAAAACCACAAGUCUUGUGAAAUACAGCUACCUAGGGUUUCCUAGUUGAAAUAUUAAUUUAUUUUGCUAUUUUUCAAGCUGAUAAAAACAAGACAGUUCGUCAGCUACAUUCGAAGCAGUUGACAUUUGAAUGGGUACACUCAUAGAUAGAGAGAAAAACACAUGGGAAAUAACCAACAUUACAGCAAACAUUACACACAUCAAAAUUACAUAAACAGACUGGAAUGAUGGUUUCUGCUAGAUGAAAUUUUUUAAAUGUGGACAUAAA